GGAAACUUACAAGUAUACUAGUAAAGAUUGUUUCAAGAACAACGAGGUUGGGACGAACUGUUCUAAAAUCGUCAAUAUCAGUAAUACAUUACUAAGAUAUGCCUUUAAUUACAACAACUGUAUUACUAAUUUGGAUUAAUGACGGCUAUCCUAAAAAAAAUCCUCAAACAAAUUAAUGUAUUAGCUUAGAUUUAUAAUGUAUGUAUAUUCAUUAAUGAAAAAAUCGAUAAUUGGUAUUCUUUUCACAAAUAAUUUGUCUAAGUGAUUGUCAAAUGAAUUCAAUUAUGUAAGAAUGAAAUGUUAAUAAGAAAAUUAAAAAAAAUCAUGCAUGUUG
Molecule: long non-coding RNA, 334 nt
Organism: Mytilus californianus (California mussel)
Lineage: Eukaryota; Metazoa; Mollusca; Bivalvia; Mytilida; Mytilidae
Exons: 2
Source: RefSeq, a predicted model, not a curated record